This 300-nucleotide ribosomal RNA is filed under the name uncultured Roseomonas sp. RNAcentral describes it as "bacterial SSU rRNA". It matches the Rfam family "Bacterial small subunit ribosomal RNA", at positions 496 to 795 of the family's 1533-position model. Lineage: Bacteria; Pseudomonadati; Pseudomonadota; Alphaproteobacteria; Acetobacterales; Roseomonadaceae. The record is from RNAcentral.
GUUAAACCCGGGCCAGCAGCGGCGGUAAUAAGAAGAGUCCAAGCGUUAUCCGGAAUCAUUGGGUUUAAAGGGUCCGUAGGCGGCCUUAUAAGUCAGCGGUGAAAGUUUUUGGCUUAACCAAAAAAUUGCCAUUGAUACUGUAGGGCUUGAAUAUUUGUGAAGUAACUAGAAUAUGUAGUGUAGCGGUGAAAUGCUUAGAUAUUACAUGGAAUACCAAUUGCGAAGGCAGGUUACUAACAAAUGAUUGACGCUGAUGGACGAAAGCGUGGGUAGCGAACAGGAUUAGAUACCCUAGUAGUC